RNAcentral lists this ribosomal RNA (204 nucleotides) under uncultured bacterium. Its description in RNAcentral is "partial 16S ribosomal RNA". It matches the Rfam family "Bacterial small subunit ribosomal RNA", at positions 524 to 726 of the family's 1533-position model. The record is from RNAcentral.
UACGUAGGGGGCAAGCGUUGUCCGGAUUCAUUGGGCGUAAAGAGCGUGUAGGCGGCCAGGUAGGUCGGUUGUGAAAACUGGAGGCUCAACCUUCAGAGGUCGACCGAAACCAUCUGGCUAGAGUCCGGGAGAGGAGAGUGGAAUUCCUGGUGUAGCGGUGAAAUGCGCAGAUAUCAGGAAGAACACCCGUGGCGAAAGGCGGCU